AACUCUUUUAGAUGGUCAAACACUAGAGACUGCGCUAUAUGUAAAAGUACAGAAAUUACACGCUGUCGCAGUGUAUUAUACAGCCUGAAAAUUAAAAUAUAAAUUAUUAAGUAUAUUCGAUCAUAUUUGAAGAAUUUUUAAUAUUAAUAUAAUAAAUUUUGAACAUGUGUUUUUUUAUGAAUUGAAUAAUAUUUUUUUCAAUAUUAUUAGUUUUGGGAAUAGUUAAGUUAGGUG
This 234-nucleotide long non-coding RNA is filed under the name Ananas comosus (pineapple). RNAcentral's name for it is "long non-coding RNA (ACOM_LNC009521)". Lineage: Eukaryota; Viridiplantae; Streptophyta; Magnoliopsida; Poales; Bromeliaceae. The record is from RNAcentral.